GUUAUAUUUGUGCCACAAUCCUGAGCGCACAGUGUGAAAUUUUGAGCACAGAAAACAAUUUUGAGCAAAGAAAAACUUAAUCUGAGCAAACAAAAAUCUAUUCUGCACUCAAAAAAUAUAUUUUUAUAUUUGCAACUAUCCACAUACACACACAGUCUUAAUGCUUUUCACUCGGUUUUUCACUCUGCUCUCCUGUGGAUCUCUGCUCUACAUCCUCGCUACGUCUCUCUCGCUCUCGCUCAACAUCUGCUCUCUGCACACGCUCAAAUCUGCCUUCACGCUCGCUCAACUCUGCACGGCGUUAUAAAUGUGCCACAAUUCCAGCCAAUCACAGACUUCUGAUUCUAUCCAAUCGGGUCCCUGUUUCGGCCGCCUCUCGGAAGCGCUGUUAAAAACGAUCGCUAAAUCAACUGGAGUUCUGCUAUAUACGCUGGACUACGACAUAUUUUCGGUGAGUAUUGUUUUAUUAUUGAAUUACAUUAAAUAAAGCACUAUUUUGUUUAGUGUGUUAAAUACAGGUGUAAUGUUUUGGUACGGUUUUGCAGAAAGUCAGUCCUGCUUCCGCAACAAAACGAGGGAUUUAGCAGAUGUGCUAGCUAAACAGCAUGACAGAUCCAAAUAAUGACAACCCAAAUACUCCGCCACCAUGUCAGGUUAGUUAAGAUUUUUGGGUUUUUUAAUUUUUUAUUAGCUGUGCUUUUGAUUAAUCUUUCUAUUAACCAACCUUUCAGAUUAAAGCUGAUUUACUAGCAGGAGUCAAAGCUGUAGAGCUUAAGCUAACCUAAUAGCUAAUGAAAACUUUGUUGGACAUUAGUGUUUGAUUUCAAAGUGUUAAAUAAUUGUGUUUUGACAGAACAUAUUAACUUUACAUUUGGUAUUGAUUUAGGGUCAAAGUGCAGUUGAGUUAGCAGCCAGAAAUCUAAUAACUUUGUUGGUUAACACCAUGGCCACAACUAGUUCACCAAGCCCUACAGAGACCAGACAGCCAGAGCCUAGAAAUGUAACUGUACCGCAAGAGAUGGCAAGGUUUGCAUGUUUAGUCAAUCAUAGGUUUUUAUUCAUAAUAUUGUGAAUUUGAUGUUCUCAUUUAGUUUGUGGAUGUGUUUAACAGAGACAUUUAAAUUCAUAUAUAAUCAGAACUGAGAGAGUCUAAAAAAAAUCAAAUUAUCUAAUAUUUGACUAUUUAUAUUAUUUAUAAAUGCAUACAUAUAUAUGUCCUGUACAGAGCUUUUCCAGGAUACUUCAGAUCAAACUUUAGUCGAGGUAAAAAGAGGUGUUUAACUUCCACCAAGCAGCCUCCUAGAACAACCAGCAAGACCAUUACUCUCAUUUUUUAUCUGCUUCCAAAAAACACACCCUACACACCUUUGCCAGUUGAGGAGCUUGAACUCCUUCAAGCUGGCAUGGGAAGACAAACGGUGUCGCUGCCUGACGACAGUGACCAUGCAGAGGUACAGUAGUCAGUUCAUAGUUUUGACUUUCCGUGUUUAAGGCGGUCAUUGGGCAACACUUUUAACCCAAAUUACAUGUUAACGUCUAUAUUGUAGUGUUUUAUUUCUCUCUUUCUUUUCUUUGUUGUCAAAUUUCAAAGGUCCUGGCUGAAACAUUCCCAAAAAUGGAAGAUCUUUAUGGGGGAUGGCUCUUGCAUAAAGCAACAGUGAACACUUUCAGGUUGAACAUGUGGCUGAUGCACAGUCUCUGAUGUUGCUGGCUGAUGAAGUUAUAAACUGUGGAUACACAAGCCAGAUCAAGCUGGAUAAUAAACAAAACACCAUUCGUACUAUUGUCUUGCACUCUACCACAAGACUGAUUCCAAUGCUUCAGCAAGUGAGAAAGGGCAUGGAACUGUAUGGUCUGCUCAGUCAGAUGGCUGCAAACCCUGAAGCUUUACACACUCUUUGUUCCUGGGAAGAUCAUCAAACCAGAUGCUGAUUUCAUAAUGAUGAACUGCCGACCACAGCUCAGUGAAAAGGGGACAUCUCGGGAGAGAACUGAAAGAUUAUAAACUUCAUGCAAGAUUUUUGCCAGGAGCUUGAAAUAUCAGUGCUGCAGUUGAGGAGCCCCACUCUCUUGGAGUUCAGCAUGUCCUCCAGUGGUUGACCGGGCAAGCCCACAUUCCCAUCCUCCCUGAUGAAAAGAGACAUUUCAAAAUAAUAUUCAUGUUUG
Acanthochromis polyacanthus (spiny chromis) is the source of this 2166-nucleotide long non-coding RNA. RefSeq lists it as uncharacterized. The record is from RefSeq and is a predicted model, not a curated record. NCBI's taxonomy places the organism in Eukaryota, Metazoa, Chordata, Actinopteri, Pomacentridae. The transcript is spliced from 5 exons.